Molecule: ribosomal RNA, 449 nt
Filed under: uncultured Propionibacterium sp.
Lineage: Bacteria; Bacillati; Actinomycetota; Actinomycetes; Propionibacteriales; Propionibacteriaceae
Description: bacterial SSU rRNA
Rfam family: Bacterial small subunit ribosomal RNA
Source: RNAcentral
ACGCCGCGUGCGGGAUGACGGCCUUCGGGUUGUAAACCGCUUUCGCCUGUGACGAAGCGUGAGUGACGGUAAUGGGUAAAGAAGCACCGGCUAACUACGUGCCAGCAGCCGCGGUGAUACGUAGGGUGCGAGCGUUGUCCGGAUUUAUUGGGCGUAAAGGGCUCGUAGGUGGUUGAUCGCGUCGGAAGUGUAAUCUUGGGGCUUAACCCUGAGCGUGCUUUCGAUACGGGUUGACUUGAGGAAGGUAGGGGAGAAUGGAAUUCCUGGUGGAGCGGUGGAAUGCGCAGAUAUCAGGAGGAACACCAGUGGCGAAGGCGGUUCUCUGGGCCUUUCCUGACGCUGAGGAGCGAAAGCGUGGGGAGCGAACAGGCUUAGAUACCCUGGUAGUCCACGCUGUAAACGGUGGGUACUAGGUGUGGGGUCCAUUCCACGGGUUCCGUGCCGUAGCU